UUGAACGCUGGCGGCAGGCCUAACACAUGCAAGUCGCACGGUAACAGGAAACAGCUUGCUGUUUCGCUGACGAGUGGCGGACGGGUGAGUAAUGUCUGGGAAACUGCCUGAUGGAGGGGGAUAACUACUGGAAACGGUAGCUAAUACCGCAUAACGUCGCAAGACCAAAGAGGGGGACCUUCGGGCCUCUUGCCAUCGGAUGUGCCCAGAUGGGAUUAGCUAGUAGGUGGGGUAACGGCUCACCUAGGCGACGAUCCCUAGCUGGUCUGAGAGGAUGACCAGCCGCACUGGAACUGAGACACGGUCCAGACUCCUACGGGAGGCAGCAGUGGGGAAUAUUGCACAAUGGGCGCAAGCCUGAUGCAGCCAUGCCGCGCGUAUGAAGAAGGCCUUCGGGUUGUAAAGUACUUUCAGCGGGGAUGAAGGGAGUAAAGUUAAUACCUUUGCUCAUUGACGUUACCCGCAGAAGAAGCACCGGCUAACUCCGUG
Molecule: ribosomal RNA, 489 nt
Filed under: uncultured bacterium
Lineage: Bacteria
Description: partial 16S ribosomal RNA
Rfam family: Bacterial small subunit ribosomal RNA
Source: RNAcentral